This 400-nucleotide unclassified non-coding RNA is filed under the name uncultured fungus. RNAcentral describes it as "sequence contains ITS1". Lineage: Eukaryota; Fungi. The record is from RNAcentral.
CCGUCAAUUCCUUUGAGUUUUAAUCUUGCGAUCGUACUCCCCAGGCGGGGCGCUUAAUGCGUUAGCUGCGUCGCACAAACCGUGGAAGGUUCGCACAACUAGCGCCCACCGUUUACGGCGUGGACUACCAGGGUAUCUAAUCCUGUUCGCUCCCCACGCUUUCGCUCCUCAGUGUCAGUAUUGGCCCAGAGACCUGCCUUCGCCAUCGGUGUUCCUCCUGAUAUCUGCGCAUUCCACCGCUACACCAGGAAUUCCAGUCUCCCCUACCAAACUCUAGCUUGCCCGUAUCGGCUGCAAGUCAGGGGUUGAGCCCCUGAAUUUCACAACCGACGUAACAAACCACCUACGAGCUCUUUACGCCCAAUAAUUCCGGACAACGCUUGCACCCUAUGUAUUACCG